Molecule: ribosomal RNA, 585 nt
Filed under: uncultured Massilia sp.
Lineage: Bacteria; Pseudomonadati; Pseudomonadota; Betaproteobacteria; Burkholderiales; Oxalobacteraceae
Description: bacterial SSU rRNA
Rfam family: Bacterial small subunit ribosomal RNA
Source: RNAcentral
ACGGGUGAGUAAUAUAUCGGAACGUACCCUGGAGUGGGGGAUAACGUAGCGAAAGUUACGCUAAUACCGCAUACGAUCUAAGGAUGAAAGCAGGGGACCGCAAGGCCUUGUGCUCCUGGAGCGGCCGAUAUCUGAUUAGCUAGUUGGUGGGGUAAAGGCCUACCAAGGCAUCGAUCAGUAGCUGGUCUGAGAGGACGACCAGCCACACUGGAACUGAGACACGGUCCAGACUCCUACGGGAGGCAGCAGUGGGGAAUUUUGGACAAUGGGCGCAAGCCUGAUCCAGCAAUGCCGCGUGAGUGAAGAAGGCCUUCGGGUUGUAAAGCUCUUUUGUCAGGGAAGAAACGGUGGGGGCUAAUAUCUCCUGCUAAUGACGGUACCUGAAGAAUAAGCAUCGGCUAACUACGUGCCAGCAGCCGCGGUAAUACGUAGGGUGCAAGCGUUAAUCGGAAUUACUGGGCGUAAAGCGUGCGCAGGCGGUUUUGUAAGUCUGUCGUGAAAUCCCCGGGCUCAACCUGGGAAUUGCGAUGGAGACUGCAAGGCUAGAAUCUGGCAGAGGGGGGUAGAAUUCCACGUGUAGCAGUG